GGCCGCCUGGCGAAAUGGCAUCGCGUCUGACUACGAUGAUAUUUCGAGCUAUUCGGUUGUAAUCAGGAGAUUGCAGGUUCGACCCCUGCGGUGGUCA
Molecule: non-coding RNA, 97 nt
Organism: Lentinula novae-zelandiae
Lineage: Eukaryota; Fungi; Basidiomycota; Agaricomycetes; Agaricales; Omphalotaceae
Source: the annotation of a GenBank genome assembly